UGAGCCCUUCCUGACCACCUGAUCAAACUAAACUCCACACCUCCAUUGUCAUUUGAAACUUUGCAAUAUACGUUGGCUGAAUGAAUGAGUGAAUUAAUGAACAAGAGAAUGAAGGAAAGAAAUCCAAGUAAAUCAAAAGGAACAGAAACUAGAAAUAUACAGGCAUACUUGUGGCUGGAGUUAUUCCACUACUUGUACAUUAUGUGGCUUACCUCAACAUGUGGAAAAAUACAGUGCAAUGGUGCAUGCCUGUAAUCCCAACACUUUGGGAGGCCGAGGCAGGAGGAUCACUUGAGCCCAGCGUUUGAGAUCAACAUAGCAAAAUCCCGUUUCUACAGAAAAAAAAAAAUUUGCUGCAUGUGGUGGUACACAUCUGUGUUCCCAGCUACUCAGGAGGCUGAAGUGGGAGGAUCACUUGAGGCUGGAGGCAGAAGUUGCAAUGAGCUGAGAUCUAGCCACUGCACUCCAGCCUGGGUGACAGAUUGAAACCCUGUCUCAAAAUAAACAACAAAGAAAACUUCGUCUCCUGCAGGAAGCUAUCAUAAUCCUGACUGCAAGCCACCUAUUUGAAACUUAUUUGAGUUAGAUCUUACGUUAUAUUUAUUUGACCUUUUUCAUCUGUCCAGUUUUCUUCUUGAGUUUAUUCAGUUACCUAAAGAAACUGAAAAUUACUUGUAGAUAGAAAUCACAUUUCAUAAUUUGCUUAUAAUUCCCCUCAGGCCUUCUGCAUUUUAUGCAUAUUGAACAUUACACAAUUUAAUGAAUGGAUCAUUGGAAAAUCUCUCAUUAUGUACACGAUUAUAGAUGCAAUACAUUUUCAUAAGUUAUAUAAUUGUUUUAUUUAUUUUUACAAUUAAGGCUGAAGAUUGAGGUCUAUAUGCACUAAUCUAUUCUUGAUGCAAUGGUUUAUUAAAAUGCCCUUUUAAAUUAUAGUAAGUUUUUGCAUUGAAAUUGGUUUGUCCUUGCUUAACAGAUUCGAUCAUUAAGAACAGUAAAGAGUUUCUCUCACUGAAAUCAUUAAUACAUUUACUUAUACAGAGAUAGAUAGAUAGGUGCUGGCAUAUACUUACAAGCUUAUGAAUAACACAGUUAGUUGCUUCACAUUGACUCAUUUCAGAAAUGUCACUGUAAGUCACAAAAUAUUUUGUGAAAUGAUUGUAGUAUACUUUCGGCUACAACACUGAGUCUGUUAUACCUGAGAAGAAAUUAGACUCUGUGGGGGGAAAAAGACAGAAAAAUUUCCAAAAUCAAAUUUUUAACACCAGGGUUGCUGUGAGCCUUACCCCAGGGGGUGCCGUUUGUGGCAUGGUCUGUGGAGUUAAACAGUGUAGGCUAUGUGGUUUUAUAUGGCAGCCCUGCAGAAACCAGAGAGUAUACAAAAAGGUAUCAUAAAAUUUUGAACUUUAGUGCCACUGCUCAGUUAAGUAGUCUUCAAACUCUUAUGGAUAUUUAGUCAAUCUGUUGUAAUCCAUGAUGUUAGAAUGUACAAUGGUCCUUACCAAUCAUUUUAUUUGGUAGAAAAGAAAAAUAAGAUAUAUCAAUGAGAAGUAAAUUAUAUAUUUAAAAUACAUAUACAUAACAUAGAAUUAAGAAAUAAAGCACAAAAUAUAUGACAAGCCUCUAAAUAUUAAGUACUUUUCAUAGUCUAAAUUUCUACUACUAUACCGUAACUAAGGGAGGAGGCCACCCCUCAUAUUGUCUUAUGCCCAAUUUCUGCCUCCAAAGAAAAAAAAAAGUGAAAACUAAAAGGCAGAAAUGACACCCACAGGAAGACAGCCCGGCGCCACACCCUGGGCCUAGUAGUUAAAGACUGACCCCUGACCUAAUCGGUUAUGUUAUCUAUAGAUUACAGACAUUGUAUGGAAAAGCACUGUGAAUAUCCCUGUCCUGUUCCGUUCUAAUUACCAGUGCAGGUGCAUGCAGCCCCCAGUCACAUACCCUCUGCUUGCUCAAUUGAUCACGACCCUCUCACACAGACCCCCUUAGAGUUGUAAGCCCUUAAAAGCGUCAGGAAUUGCUCACUCAGGGAACUCGGUUUUUGGAGACAUGAGUCUGCUGAUGCUCCUGACUGAAUAAAGCCCUUUCCUUCUACAAUUCGGUGUCUGAGGGAUUCUUGUCUGUCACUCGUCCUGCCAUAUAACCAUUAAAAUUGUGUCUUGCUUAUACGAGGAUUACAUCUCAAAAUAGGAAAAUAUUUUGUAGUGAUAUUUCAGUCUCCAAAUAAGACCAUCAUUUAUGGAAGUUAAAAUUAACUACUUCUGCUAAAUUAAUACAGGUUUGAGCUUUCAUAUUAACUAUAUGUUCUGGGUUUUUUUAUGUAACAGUAUCUUUUAGA
RNAcentral lists this long non-coding RNA (2335 nucleotides) under Homo sapiens (human). RNAcentral describes it as "HSALNT0137347". Lineage: Eukaryota; Metazoa; Chordata; Mammalia; Primates; Hominidae. The record is from RNAcentral.